CCUACGGGGGUCAGCAGUGAGGAAUAUUGGUCAAUGGGCUUACGCCUGAACCAGCCAAGUCGCGUGAGGGAAGACUGCCCUAUGGGUUGUAAACCUCUUUUGUCAGGGAGCAAUUGGCGCUACGUGUAGCGUUAUCGAGAGUACCUGAAGAAAAAGCAUCGGCUAACUCCGUGCCAGCAGCCGCGGUAAUACGGAGGAUGCGAGCGUUAUCCGGAUUUAUUGGGUUUAAAGGUGGCGUAGGCGGAAUGCCAAGUCAGCGGUAAAAUCGCGGGGCUCAACCUCGCUCCGCCGUUGAAACUGGCGGUCUUGAGUGGGCGAGAAGUAUGCGGAAUGCGUGGUGUAGCGGUGAAAUGCAUAGAUAUCACGCAGAACUCCGAUUGCGAAGGAAGCAUACCGGCGCCCAACUGACGCUGAAGCACGAAAGCGUGGGUAUCGAACAGGAUUAGAUACCCCUGUAGUC
RNAcentral lists this ribosomal RNA (460 nucleotides) under uncultured bacterium. Its description in RNAcentral is "partial 16S ribosomal RNA". It matches the Rfam family "Bacterial small subunit ribosomal RNA", at positions 338 to 795 of the family's 1533-position model. The record is from RNAcentral.